GCCAGGCACUGUGGAAGGUGCUUAUAGUCCCUGAUACUUGGGAGUCUGGGGCAGGAGGAUAGUUUGAGCCCUGGAGCUCUGGGCUGUAGUUUACUGUACUAAUUGGGUUAUCCACAGUAAGUUUGGUAUCAAUAUAGUGACCUCUUGAAGUGGGGGACCACCAGGUGGCCUAGGGGUGUGAAUUAGCCCAGGUCAGAAGUGGAGCAGGUCCAAACACCCAGGCUGAUCAGUAGUGGGAUCAAGCCUGUGAAUAGCCACUGCAUUUCAUCUGGGCAACACAGUGAGUCUGUGUCUCUU
Unclassified non-coding RNA from Macaca mulatta (Rhesus monkey), 297 nucleotides. It matches the Rfam family "Metazoan signal recognition particle RNA". From Rfam's summary of the family: The signal recognition particle (SRP) is a universally conserved ribonucleoprotein. It is involved in the co-translational targeting of proteins to membranes. The record is from Ensembl. Lineage: Eukaryota; Metazoa; Chordata; Mammalia; Primates; Cercopithecidae.